This 284-nucleotide unclassified non-coding RNA is filed under the name Hevea brasiliensis (rubber tree). The record is from RNAcentral. Lineage: Eukaryota; Viridiplantae; Streptophyta; Magnoliopsida; Malpighiales; Euphorbiaceae.
GGCAACUCCGUGUUUGAGCUUCUAUUUCUUCGCAAAUCACAGGGAAAAAUUCAUACGGAAAUGUAAUCUCUCAGCUCCCCCAUGAUGAUGGUGGGUUAUCAGACCUCAUACCGUGCAGAGGGAAUUUAAUUCUGAUGAUUCUGUUAAGGUUACAGAAACCCUAAUCUGAACUAAUAUUAUGGCUUUAUUUUUCCCCUGUUUGGCUUGGAUUGUAUUAAGAAAGAUUAUCAAAUGAUUAAGAAAGAGCGAAGCAACAGCCUUAAUGUUUAUUGUUGGGGUAGCAC